Cajanus cajan (pigeon pea) is the source of this 928-nucleotide non-coding RNA. Lineage: Eukaryota; Viridiplantae; Streptophyta; Magnoliopsida; Fabales; Fabaceae. The record is from RefSeq and is a predicted model, not a curated record.
UUAUGCAGGUUCACUUUUGAAUUCUGGAAUCCAGUAAAGAGAAUUCAUUUGCGUUGCUUUUGGGUCUUGAAUAUCUUAUCAACGUCCCAUAUGUAGAUGAUACCGAGGAUUUAAGGGUAAUUGUAUUUUGUUUUAAUAAAAGGCACACUAGAGAAGAUAUAGGCCCGAAGAACCCAACUCCUUCCUUUUUGGAAAAUUAAGAAAAGAAAUUGAGAACACGACAGGAAUACAUACUUUUUGUCAUGGUCAUUUGGGAUGCAUUAUAUCUCUGUGAAAUCACAACGGGAAAAGAUAACAAAGUUGUUAUUGCACGUAAUAUGAUGUAUGUUGUGGGAUAGUAUCCUCAUUUUUUAAGAGCUCAUUAGACGUUUCUAAAAGCUGUUGUGAAUAAUUUUCUUUAGAUUUUGCAUGAGACUCAUCCUGGAGUUCUGGUUAUGUUUUCUUCCUAUGUUUUCUGUCCUAAUUUUUCUUAUGUCAAUAGCUUAUCUUAUGUCCCUUUGCGUGUGCCUGUGUUUGUAUGCUCUGUGUCUGUACUCUGUGUUGUGUGCCUUUGUUUGCCUUUGAGUCCUUGUGUGUAUAUGCUGUGUUUUGUAUGUGUUUCUAUGUGCGUGUAUCUGUCCUUUUUGUGUUCACAGGUGGCAGCCUUUAGGUUUGGGAACACUACAAAUAUUCUUGAGGCAUAUUCAUAUAGUUCUAGUGAGGAACAAGUUCACAUUUGAAUUCUGGAAUCUAGUAAAGAGAAUAUAUCUGUUUUUCUUUUGGGUCUUGAAUGUCUUAUUAACGUCCCAUAUGUAGAUGGUACCAAGGAUUUUAAGGUAUGAUGAUGUUGACAUUCAUGUCUUAUGGUUGUCUAUUUCUUAUGUUAUGAUUAUGAUUUAUGAUUGCUGAAACUUGUGUUUUCAAAGUGUGAUAAAUGAUAGUAUACAUA